CGGGGCACAGCAGAGAACAUGGGUGUGCACUUGUGCAGCUACAAUGGUGCCUGUGAAAAUUUCUUACAAGCCACCAAACAAAGUGUACUUAAGAAAUGCUUUUAACCUUGGGCUGCUGCAACGAGCUCCCGGGUGGUGAUCUUGCGGCCUUGGUGCUUCCUCCAAACUCGACCUCUUCAUAUUUACCUGUACCCAACUCAAGUGCCAGCUGGAGCUUCUGGCUUGAAGACGCCAACAAAAGCACAUCAUCAGUGAAAAGCAAAGAGAAGAUCCUGAGGUUCCCUAUCCUGAAACCCUCAUUACCAUGACUAUGCCUUUAAUUCCAUUCUAUAACAACUACAAACAGAAGAGUGAAAAAGUCAAAACCAAGACACAGCUAAGAUGUGCUGCUCAUUGGCAUGGCAACAACUUCCUAAAUCAAGAAGCUGGAUUCAAAACUUAAGUUCUUACUCCAAAACAGAAUCGUACUCAAUCAAGUGUUAUGGCAGUUCCUUUUUCCAACUUGAUAUAUUUAUUCAUUAUCCAACCCAUAGAAACAUAGAUUUGCUGUUCAAUGUGCUGUCUGUAAAAAACAGGGAAACACAUUGGAACUGUAACCAAACGGAUUUACAGAUACAAAAUAAAUUAAUAUACUUGCUUAAAACGCAGAAAAAGAUACCCUGGUAAAAACUAAAAUUGAACAUUUUGACCUUAAAUGGAUAAUUCUUAGUGUGGUGUCAUUUUAACAUAGCCACCUAUGUAAAGCACAGUGGUGGCAGUGUGAUGUUGUAAACACCUAUUAAAUAGCAAAAACUGUGUUGAAGCUCAAUUAAUUCAGCUUGACAGAACUGCAGACUUUCUACUUUGAUAACCAUAAAUCUGACAGUGUGGAUGUGACAAGGAUUUGAAGACACAGAUGAAGAGUCCUCCUGCAAAAUCAGGCUCUUGAGGUGAAUUGUUACGAAAUCUUCUAUUUUUUGUCCUCUUUCUUGGUUCACUCAUGUAAAUAUUUUGCAUCUUAAAAGUGAAAGGCAUCUUGCAUUUGUCAUAUAAAGCAAACGUCAUGAAUAUCCUGAAAGAACUAGUACAAAGAGACCCAAAACUUUCAUAAUAUGCUGGCUAAUGACCAAGAUAAAUUCAGUGAAAUUUAAAAUACGGAAUCAAACUGUUAACUGUGUUGUUUUAGAUAUUUUCUAUGACUUGUAAUUAAGUUUUUCCCUCAAUGAUCAUUUAGAAAAUUCUUUUCCAAAAUAAAUUUUUAUAGUGGAGGUUUUGUAUGACCACUGACUCCCAGUAAUGCAACAAGCACCCCAACAAGUGUGAAAGCCAGUCUGACUGUGUUGCAGAUCAUGUUAAGAUAAUUGUUCAGCCUUCAGUGCCGGAUCACGGUCAGUCAUGGUGUUAGCCUUUGACAUAAACUAUGCAAUUGCAAUGGCAGCCUGUUUGAUAUCAGUACCUAAUGUCAGUAAUGUGAUGGAUAGGCCUUGCCUCUGCUUCAGAUAAAGCCAGAAUAUAAAUCCAUAAAUAAUCAACCUCUCUGUGACAUUUUAGCAGGGGUGAUAAAAUAUAUUUAGAAG
Long non-coding RNA from Girardinichthys multiradiatus, 1556 nucleotides. RefSeq lists it as uncharacterized. The record is from RefSeq and is a predicted model, not a curated record. The transcript is spliced from 3 exons. Lineage: Eukaryota; Metazoa; Chordata; Actinopteri; Cyprinodontiformes; Goodeidae.